Molecule: ribosomal RNA, 511 nt
Filed under: Klebsiella oxytoca
Lineage: Bacteria; Pseudomonadati; Pseudomonadota; Gammaproteobacteria; Enterobacterales; Enterobacteriaceae
Description: bacterial SSU rRNA
Rfam family: Bacterial small subunit ribosomal RNA
Source: RNAcentral
AGUGACAGGUGGUGCAUGGUUGUCGUCAGCUCGUGUCGUGAGAUGUUGGGUUAAGUCCCGCAACGAGCGCAACCCUUAUUGUUAGUUGCCAUCAUUUAGUUGGGCACUCUAGCGAGACUGCCGGUGACAAACCGGAGGAAGGUGGGGAUGACGUCAAAUCAUCAUGCCCCUUAUGACCUGGGCUACACACGUGCUACAAUGGGAAGUACAACGAGUCGCUAGACCGCGAGGUCAUGCAAAUCUCUUAAAGCUUCUCUCAGUUCGGAUUGCAGGCUGCAACUCGCCUGCAUGAAGCCGGAAUCGCUAGUAAUCGCGGAUCAGCACGCCGCGGUGAAUACGUUCCCGGGCCUUGUACACACCGCCCGUCACACCACGAGAGUUUGUAACACCCGAAGGCGGUGAGGUAACCUUUUUGGAGCCAGCCGCCUAAGGUGGGAUAGAUGAUUGGGGUGAAGUCGUAACAAGGUAGCCGUAUCGGAAGGUGCGGCUGGAUCACCUCCUUUCUAAGGAA